This 406-nucleotide ribosomal RNA is filed under the name uncultured bacterium. RNAcentral describes it as "bacterial SSU rRNA". It matches the Rfam family "Bacterial small subunit ribosomal RNA", at positions 355 to 776 of the family's 1533-position model. The record is from RNAcentral.
UGGGGAAUAUUGGGCAAUGGGCGCAAGCCUGACCCAGCCGCGCCGCGUGAAGGAAGAAGGCUUGCGGGCUGUAAACUUCUUUUAAGAGGGAAGAGCAGAAGACGGUACCUCUUGAAUAAGCCCCGGCUAACUACGUGCCAGCAGCCGCGGUAAUACGUAGGGAGCGAGCGUUGUCCGGAUUUACUGGGUGUAAAGGGCGUGCAGCCGGGAAGACAAGUCAGAUGUAAAAUCCCGCGGCUCAACCGCGGAACUGCAUUUGAAACUGUAUUUCUUGAGUACUGGAGAGGCAGACGGAAUUCCUAGUGUAGCGGUGAAAUGCGUAGAUAUUAGGAGGAACACCAGUGGCGAAGGCGGUCUGCUGGACAGCAACUGACGGUGAGGCGCGAAAGCGUGGGGAGCAAACAGG